Molecule: long non-coding RNA, 1444 nt
Organism: Mesocricetus auratus (golden hamster)
Lineage: Eukaryota; Metazoa; Chordata; Mammalia; Rodentia; Cricetidae
Exons: 2
Source: RefSeq, a predicted model, not a curated record
AGAUGGUUGUGAGCCACCAUAUGGUUGCUGGGAAUUGAACUCAGGACCUCUGGAAGAGCAGCCAGUGCUCUUAACCUCUGAGCCAUCUCUCCAGCCCCGACCCCUCAUAUUUUAACCUGUGUCAACUCCCAUACCACUUCCCUGUCGGCCACACUAUGGGUAUUUCCUGUGGAAUGUCCAGUGUUCCAAAUGGGUGGACAUAUGGUGAUUUCAUCAUCCUGACUUUUCUUUCCAAAUCCUCCCCUGUGCUGCUCCAGCUCACCACAGGGGCUCCCACGCUCUGCUCAGCUGCAGCUCAUGUGGUUUUGCAAUUACCCGUCUCUCUGGGUGCACAGGAAGCCAGGCCAGAGCCCCCUUACCUUGCACCCCUGCAGCUCAUUGGCGCCACCCUGUCUGAGCUGCUUCAGGGAAGGGUGGGUCCCUCUGUUUUAUUCUGCGUGUUGGGUGGGAUACCAUGUUCCCCACAUCCCCUACCCCCCUGAGUAGCCCUACCCAAGGUGCUCAGGGGAGGAAGCUGAGCACAGGUUUUUUUGGAGCCCAAAGAAUAGGCUUAGAAAGCAAAAGUCAGGCUCCACUCCAGCAAGUAGCAGAGUUAGAAUUUAAACAUACAGCUGCUUGGUCAAUUCUACUGUUUGAACGCUGACAGUUGACAACUGAUUCAUUUAUUUUUUUAUUUGCAGUGUUGGGGGAUUAAAUCCAGUGUCUCAUGAGCGCUGUAUAUACAGCUUUAAAGCAUGCAUAUGUGCAGAUUAUUUAUGUAUAAGUACAAGUAUAUGCCAGUGUUCUUCCUCAUAUACCAUUCACCUUGUUUUCAGACAGGGUCUCUCAUGGGCUUGGCUGGCUGGCUGGCUGACCAGCCACGGAGUCUGCACGUCUCUGCCUCCCCAGUACAGGAAUCCCAAGCAUGCACGGCCACAUUGGCUUUUAGGAGGGUUCUGGGGAUUGAACUCACGUUUUCACACUUGCCAUUACCCCAGCCUAGCUUGGAAGCUUUGAUUUUGAAAGCAGAGAACAGGAAUGGUGGUUGGUUGUCCUCCUUUAUUAUUAUUUUAGGUGUGUGGGUGGUUUGCCUGCAUGUCUGUGUACCACAUUUGAAGCCUGAACUGGAGUUAUAGACAGCUGUGAGCCUCCAUGUGAGUGUUGGUGAUCUGACCUGGGGCCUUUAGAAGAGCAGCCAGCGCUCCAGACUGCCAAACCCUCUCUCCAGCCCUCCAUCCCCAUCGUCCUCUUACCAUCCCACUGGCCUUGGGCAUAUCCUAUGACCAGGUGCCAAGUGCUGGGACUAUGACUGUGCACAUCAAGUUCCGUUUCCAGAUAGUCUUGCCACUGCACAGCAGGUGUGAGGUCAUGGGCUCCUUGGGGGACCCCUUGCAAAGGCUCCAGGGCCAGGGAAAGACAAUGGAGCAUGAAAAGCUUUGGCACAAUUAAACUUUCUUUAAUGCAA